GGUUAAGCGACUAAGCGUACACGGUGGAUGCCCUGGCAGUCAGAGGCGAUGAAGGACGUGCUAAUCUGCGAUAAGCGUCGGUAAGGUGAUAUGAACCGUUAUAACCGGCGAUUUCCGAAUGGGGAAACCCAGUGUGUUUCGGCACACUAUCAUUAACUGAAUCCAUAGGUUAAUGAGGCGAACCGGGGGAACUGAAACAUCUAAGUACCCCGAGGAAAAGAAAUCAACCGAGAUUCCCCCAGUAGCGGCGAGCGAACGGGGAGGAGCCCAGAGCCUGAAUCAGUGUGUGUGUUAGUGGAAGCGUCUGGAAAGGCGUGCGAUACAGGGUGACAGCCCCGUACACAAAAAUGCACAUAUUGUGAGCUCGAUGAGUAGGGCGGGACACGUGGUAUCCUGUCUGAAUAUGGGGGGACCAUCCUCCAAGGCUAAAUACUCCUGACUGACCGAUAGUGAACCAGUACCGUGAGGG
RNAcentral lists this ribosomal RNA (469 nucleotides) under Escherichia coli. Its description in RNAcentral is "partial 23S ribosomal RNA". It matches the Rfam family "Bacterial large subunit ribosomal RNA", at positions 1 to 509 of the family's 2925-position model. The record is from RNAcentral. Lineage: Bacteria; Pseudomonadati; Pseudomonadota; Gammaproteobacteria; Enterobacterales; Enterobacteriaceae.